This 735-nucleotide long non-coding RNA is filed under the name Cyanistes caeruleus (blue tit). RNAcentral describes it as "lncRNA (ENSCCEG00000009866.1)". Lineage: Eukaryota; Metazoa; Chordata; Aves; Passeriformes; Paridae. The record is from RNAcentral.
GAUGCAUCACUUUUAACAUUAUUUUUUUAUUUAAAGAAACUAAGUAGGAAGUAUUAAAAGCCUCUCAGUUCAGAUUUUAAUUUUUUUUUUAAGAAAAGGAAGAAAAUGAAAUCUAAAAGCAAAAUGGCUACUGAUGGAAUAGAAAUGAGGACAAUGUUCAGAUGCAUUACAGAAGGAUAGACAGGAGUUCAAGAGCACUAGUAAAAAUUCCGCUAAAGUACUUGGGUUGUGGAGUUUUUGGUAAAUAGCGUUUAUUAGUCAGACAAAAUAUCCAGGUUAUUUUCUUCCAGUUCGGAGGAUGUGGAGGAAAGCAGUCUUGGAUCAUCUUACAGAUGUGCUGUAUGAAGGAGAGUAUAUUUUCUCAGGGGACCUCCUUUACAAAUCUGAGCAGGAAAUGACACUUGCACACCAGGACAUCAUCAUUAAUCCACUGUGCUAGAUGUUGUAGGAUGCUCACUCUCCCGAUAGAAUCUGAAACUCCUGCAGCUCUCUCCUAAUGCUUCUUAGAUUGUAUCUGAAUUGUGGGACAGGCACAUACCACAGUCCACCCUGGUCACUGUGGACAAUCAGUCAUUCAGAUCAGGGCAUUGACUGGAGCAGACUGUGUGCUCAGCAGUAUAAUUUCAGAGGCUGUGGGAGGUUGGUGCUAAGGUAAGUGUUGGCUCUGUAGAAACAGGACAAAAUUUCAUAGUCUCCUGGAUUUACGAACUUGAAUGCUUUGAAGUUACUCAUAAG